This 119-nucleotide ribosomal RNA is filed under the name Pteropus alecto (black flying fox). Lineage: Eukaryota; Metazoa; Chordata; Mammalia; Chiroptera; Pteropodidae. The record is from RNAcentral.
AUCUACGGUCCUGCCACUCUGAACACGCCCGAUCCCGUCUGAUCUCGGAAGCUAAGCAGGGUCAGGCCUGGUUAGUACUUGGAUGGGAGACCACUUAGGAAGACCAGGUGCUGUAGGCG